Molecule: ribosomal RNA, 448 nt
Filed under: uncultured bacterium
Lineage: Bacteria
Description: bacterial SSU rRNA
Rfam family: Bacterial small subunit ribosomal RNA
Source: RNAcentral
UGGGGAAUCUUGGACAAUGGGCGCAAGCCUGAUCCAGCCAUGCCGCGUGAGUGACGAAGGUCUUCGGAUUGUAAAGCUCUUUUUGGCGGGGACGAUAAUGACGGUACCCGCAGAAUAAGCCCCGGCUAACUUUGUGCCAGCAGCCGCGGUAAUACGAAGGGGGCUAGCGUUGUUCGGAAUUACUGGGCGUAAAGCGCACGUAGGCGGAUCUAUAAGUCAGGGGUGAAAUCCCGGGGCUCAACCUCGGAACUGCCUUUGAUACUGUAGAUCUCGAGUCCGGAAGAGGUGAGUGGAAUUCCUAGUGUAGAGGUGAAAUUCGUAGAUAUUAGGAAGAACACCAGUGGCGAAGGCGGCUCACUGGUCCGGUACUGACGCUGAGGUGCGAAAGCGUGGGGAGCAAACAGGAUUAGAUACCCAAGUAGUCCCUGAGCGGGCUGGCAAGGCGCAU